GCUUGGCCUUUGUACGCAGCUAUGAGAAGGCGUUCAGAAAGUGCAGCGACCGCAUCCUGCUGGCUCAUGAAUUAGGAGAAAAAGAGGUUUUCAGGAAAGCAGUAGACAAGUUCCUUCAGCUCAACACGAUGCCACUGGCCCGGGCAGGCACCCACGGGUAAAGACGCUCCCGAUCAUCAGAAGGUGCCUGUAUUACUAUGCCAUCUUCGGGACCUAGAGAUUACAAACAAAGUUGCCAUCAGCACCGCUCAGCACACAGGACAGGCCACGCACCUCCUCUCUCUGAUUCUAGGGCAUCUGCUGAUCGCUCACUGCAGGGGACAGAAGCUGAGUGAAGAUAGGACGAGCAGGAAGCACAUACUCUGCACACCAAGCCCCUGAACUUGCGAGUAGAAGGCAGCAGAUGUGCCAACCUCCCUCCCUUCUUCCUCCUUCAGGGACAUUCUCCAGAGGACUAUGGCCAAAACUGUGAGGUCUGCUCUGUACUUCCAUCCCGGGUAGCAGAGGCCUGAUAUAACCCCAUCAACAUCACCUGGGUUCCAGGCCUGCCUUUGGCAGGUAACUGUACUGCGCAUGAUGACGAAGGGCCUUCUGGCCGUGUUUUGUGGGUCCACCACAGCCGACAUGCUGAUUCCCCUGGCAGGUGAAGAUGCCCACGGACCACCCCCCACAGAGACCCUCAGGGGUGGGUUAAACCCUUGGGUGUUCCGCCAGCAUUUACUGCAGGUUUUUUGCUUCAUCCUUGUCUCACUGGGAACAGUGCAGCUUCCUGAGUUCUGGGACAGACCAAGAACUGGGCACAGGCCCGGGCCAUCGCCCAGUUCCAGUUACUGCCGGAACAACCCACCUUGGGAACAACGCGGAUGCUAGAAACCCUGACAGUGCAUACUGCCAACCGCAUCAGGAGGGCCUGGUUUUGUUGCUUCCAUGCUUAACAAGAAAUAAAAGGCCUACUGAAACCACCUACAGGACGCAAAACCCCAGUCAGAGAAGUGGUCUAGAGGUAGUAGUAACUGUAGUAAAAUUAAACUCUUCUUUCCACCAAAUGACAAAUGAACACAAUUUUAAAGACCGACUUCUCCCAGGAGCCCUGGGCCACCAUUAGAGCAAACCAAAGCCAUUGGUAAUUUAUCCAAAGUAAAGUGUUCUUUGGAAGGAAUGCUUUCAAGAAUUGAACCCACUCAGGGUGCCUGGGUGGUUCAGUCGAUUAAGUAUCCAACUCUUAGUUUGGACUCAGGUCAUGAUCUCAUGAUUUGUGAGUUCAAGCCUCACAUCUGGCUUUGUGCUGUCAGAUUCUCUCUCUCCCUCUCUCUCUCUGCCCCUCCCCCAUGUGUGUGCAUGCUCUGUCUCUCUCUCUCAAAAUAAAUAAACUUAAAAAAAAAAAAAAAGAAUUGAAUCCACUCCUGCUAGGACAGCAAGUAAGUGAAAGCUUGUGUUUUGAAACAUACUUAUUAAAAAUACCUAUGGGGCGGGGCGCCUGGGUGGCUCAGUCAGUUAAGCGUCCGACUUCAGCUCAGGUCACGAUCUCGCGGUAUGUGAGUUCGAGCCCCGCGUCCGGCUCUGUGCUGACCGCUCAGAGCCUGGAGCCUGUUUCAGAUUCUGUGUCUCCCUCUCUCUCUGACCCUACCCCGUUCAUGCUCUGUCUCUCUCUGUCUCAAAAAUAAAUAAACAUUAAAAAAAAAAAAUACCUAUGGGGCACCUGGGUAGCUUAGUCAGUUGAGCCUCGACUCGAUACAGGCUCAAAUUGUGAUCUUAUGGUCCUGAGAUCAAGCCCUGCAUCAGGCUCCACUCUCAGUGUGGAGCCUGCUUGGGAUUCUCUCUUACUCUCUCUCUCUCUCCCUCCCUCCCUCCCUCCCUCCCUCUGUCCCUCUCUCCUGCUCGUGCACUCUCUCUCUCAAAAUAAAUACUUUAAAAAUAUUCCAAUACAUGCAAAUACAAAGAAAAUGCUGUGGCAAAAGGACUGCACUCUUCACCCAAGACCCUACCACACGUUCUAAUUUUGAAGGCCUGGAAGAUACAGACAUCUUUUACAGUUGCUUCCAGGCAAACCCAAUGCUCCUUUCAACCUCUAAGAUGAAGGAAUUGGCCAUGAGACGACUAGGAAAGAUCUGGACUCUACGUGCCUUGCUCUAACUCUUGUUCACCAUGACAUUCCAGGCAAUUCAUUUUGCCAACAGCUCUGAGAGGCUGGGGUUAAAUGAUCACACAUAAAACAGACACACACACACACACACACACAAAGAGGACCAUGGUGGGAUUAAAGAUGGCAGUUUACUAUGUGAAAGUAUUGGCCAAAAUGUGAAUAACUUCAAAAAGGUAAUUAUUAUCCCUCCUGCCCCAACUUGUUAAUCAUCAACUUUUCUCACUUCAUCUGUAUGUUGCCCAAAAUGUGGUUAAAGAGUAGCAAGGAAAGAAAGAACCUUCAAAUCCACCUGCUCUGCUCAUUGGAAAUGCAAUAAACCCGGAGAAGGUAUGCUCCAAAGAGAACUCCUCUCUUAGCCAUGGUCAGAGACCCCUGGGAUGCAUGAGGAAUCUCGGUUGAAUGAAUGAGCCAAUGAAAGAAUCAAGCUGCAACUCAAAACAGAGAAACAGAGCUGGAAAAUCCACUGGAAAUUCCCAGGGUCCCACUGAAAGACUAGUUUAGGCUUUAUGUUUGCCAGACUGUUCUACAGUGUAGAAGUUGUUUUUGGAAACGUUGGAUACAUUCUCUAUUCAGGUAAUCUGUGGUAUCUGUAAACCAAUUAUACUGAGCUUCCCAAUACUGGGUUUGCCCCAAUAUUGUAAGAACACUCCAGGCACAAAUGGCAGGAAGCUACAAUAUUAGCCGUGACUUCCAAACUGCUCUCCCUCCACAACCACAUUGUUCAUUUACUCAUUUGUUGUCUUUGCACACUCAGCCUGAACUGCCACCUUCCCCUGUAUCCAAACUUUCCUUGCAGUGAGCAUCUGAACGUCUCAAUACAAUGGCCCAAUUCAGACAAAUACUAUUAAAAUUUCACUCAUUUUACUUCAGAGCUUAGCUCCUGGAGAUAGAGACAUCCUUGCUGCAAACUAGUGCAGCCCACCAGCUGAGGUCACGAGCUCCAGUCCAGCAGCACUGGCCAGUCUCCCCAGCAACAGAUGCAGGGGUCAGCAGGCCUGUAGUACAUGGACAGCCACUCCCCUCCUGUCCCAGACAAUAAAUUCAGCUCUCAGACACCCACUGCCAUGGUUGCAAGCUACUGAGAUAGCCUCGUUUAUAUAACUACCUUUGGUAAACAGCCCUUUAUAAGUCUAGCACACAUUACUACUCACUUUGUUUUAAGACAGAAAAAAACACUACAGUUGAGAAAUAUUGUCCAGACUUUUUUUUUCUUCAGUUACAACUACUUAAGAAUGAAAUGCUCCCCACUCCCCACCCUAUCCCACCCCUUCCACCAUGGCCAAUACACAGCCUGCCUGAGGCACAGGGAUUUGUUGCUCACAGGAUUUUGGAUACCGCUCCCACCACCCCACCACCCCCAACUAGAAUUACAUAGAAAACUGCCUGCAAAGUCAGGAACAGAAUCCCAGGUUUCCAGUUCCUAGUCUGUGGUUAGCAUCAUCCCUACGUGCUUGGGCAUCUCAAGUUCAUUCUCAACUGAAAUCCAGUAAUAGCGUCACUGGUAGGAUGCCCAGUAUUCACCUACAGUUGCAUAUACACACAGGGUGGGUGGGAAAGAAUCAAAGUGGCUGAGUCUUCUUUUCUGUUUCCUCUCUGUACCUCCAUCCUUUUGGAGGAAGGGGCUUCUCAUCUGAGACCUCUGACCUGACAAAUCAGGAAGGCAGAGGCGGGUUGAGGGAGAGGAAUAAGGAGGAUAGAGGACCUUCACCAAUGAAUGGGGAGGGUAGAGGAAUAGAGACGUAGCAACUAGUCUGCAAUCAACGAGUUAAACUUCACUGCCAACCUGUUGGGUACCUCGGCUGUAGCAGCCCCAUUCCCUCAUUCAAUCUGAGCCUCCUCUUCCAAGUAGAUCAGCUAUCAUUCAAGACACUUCCCACUGUUGGCGGUGAGGAAUUUCUUCUGCCCUAUAUCUAUCAAUCACAUCCUUCUUUGUCACAAUGCUCACUUUCACAGCAUUCUGGAGAAAAACACUAAAUGCAAACAUACUGCCAGCUCUUUAAGCAGAAAUGAAAUAAAUCCAUGAUCAUAAAUAUUCAAUGAGCAUCCUGAAUCCAGAAAGGUAUUUAGCUUCUAAGAAAGAUUUCCCUGCUUUGUCCUAGCCCACCGCCCCAUUUUGACUGCAUUCCAAUUUGCAAAUGCUUUUUUUCUCUCAUCACGAAAGCUAGAGGGCCACACAGCUGCUUGGUCUGUGAUGCAAUCUGUUUUAUUUUUAUAGCAAAAGGUCUAUGAGGUUUGCUUUUGCUGCUUUCUUGAGGAUUUACAAGAAGUCUCCCGAUACCAAUAUCCCCAAACUACUACAUUCAGUUUCCUGACAGGCAACAUAUUUUAGAAGAGACCUGCAAACAGAAGUCCCAGCCAGGCAUAUGCAUACCCCACCCAGAGACAGUCCACAAGCACCCAGAAUCAGUGGUUAGGGGAGCACCAUCAGUUACAAUAAUUCACUUUGCUCCCACUGCUUAAAACUCUGUAGUGAAGAGGGGCGCCUGGGUGGCGCAGUCGGUUAAGCGUCCGACUUCAGCCAGGUCACGAUCUCGCGGUCCGUGAGUUCGAGCCCCGCGUCGGGCUCUGGGCUGAUGGCUCAGAGCCUGGAGCCUGUUUCCGAUUCUGUGUCUCCCUCUCUCUCUGCCCCUCCCCUGUUCAUGCUCUGUCUCUCUCUGUCCCGAAAAUAAAUAAACGUUGAAAAAAAAAAAAAUUUUAAAACUCUGUAGUGAAGAGAGAUCGUACUCACAUCCGGGGGUCUGUCCUCCCCAUUCUACAUAGUGUUCUGUUGCUGGGUAAUUGCUGUCAAUUAUUUCCUGGAGACAUGAUUAGCUUCCUAGGGUUGUCACACCCAGUGGGUCUGCAAUCAUUUACUUGCCUUUUUCCCUCGAGCUCUCUCUGCCAACUCUGGCCAAAUCACAUCUGAAAGCUUAUUAAGACAUCCAUUCAGCUCACAAUGUCAUGGCUUCCUCCUAGUCUGCUCGUCACAGCUUCUGAAAGUCUUAGGGCUUCAGGUUUUGUCAGACUGCUCCCUUCUGCCGGCAAAGGACCUGUAACACUGCCCUAUCGAAGAGUCAGGGAAUAAUUCACAAAUGGGAGGAAUGCUUUUGAAUCAGAGAAAUGAAGUCUGAACUCUGCCAGCAGUAAUGCCAGGAGAAGAGAGGGAUGUGCAUGUUGUAAAGGAGGGAGAACGAAGGAGGGGUCAAGAUCUAUAAUGAACCACCUUUCUGGUGACAACAGUCCACCCUCCUUGGCAGAGAGUUCCAGCACUGUGACUGCAGCCGCACGGGAGACAAGAGGCUGGGAGAGCAGCUGUUUCAGUGUUUGUAAGUCCAGAGUCUGUCUCACAAAUGCUCCUGUGAGUCUCUGUGGGGUGGGGGAAGGGAGAAGACAGGGAGCAAAACUGUUCAAGUGCUGUCAGUGGUCCUAAACACCACAGGGGUGUCCUCCAGACCACUUGUAGAAGCGACAGAAAACUAACUCCCCAACUGAAGCAGCCCUAGAAAGGAAGAGUAGAAAGUCAAAUUUCAUUUUGACUUGAGCCGCAUCACCACUUUUUCCUUAUUUCUAAAGCAAGAAUUAUUGGUCCUGAAGAUGGGAGAAUUAAUGUCAACGUAAACCCUCCCUGAUCAAGACCUUGCCCCCAUCUCCUUGAGGGUAGCAGCUCUUAUGGGCAACAGGCUGGGAUUCUGCGUGGCCAUUAUCUGGUUUAUACCAAAGGCAGAACAGCCAGACUCACGGCAGUGCGUUACAGGGAGACUGAAUUCCGCUGGGGAGACAAAGCGCCAAUAGAACGACAAGCUUAUUUUUAGCAUACAAAAAUUGUACUAGUUUAUCCAGAGGUGGUGACUGCUGGAUACUGCCAUCACCCCUGGGGGACAAAUCAGGUUAGAACAGAGACUAAUGUGACUGACUCUCUACAUUAAAGAAACCGGCCCUGAUGAGUCUCAGCGGGGGCCCAAAGGCCAGAGGCCAGAUGAGAAAUGUAAACCGAAUGUGACAGAAAUAUAAAGAAAGGAGUGAUUACUUUUCUCAAAGCUUCUGGGACAUUUCCUUCUUCUGAGAAUAUGUAUUCCACAGGUAGGGACCCUCAACAUAAUACUAUCAUUGAGAACAGUACAGCACUGGCCAUUCACAGAGCCUGGUGUCCACAAAUGCUAUCUCCAAAACACCAGGACAACAGGUGCAGAGCAAGAGCAUGACUCAUUUUCUAUACCUCACUAUUGCAAAGGAACGCGUAUGCUACCUGAAGUACAGUACUUCUGACACUUACUGAAUCUUUGAAAUAAUCACCUUUGCAGGAGGCAUAUGGAAGCUGUUGUAGUAAAAAGCUGAGUGACAUCAGGAAACCUGUGACAUACUCUACCAUAAAGAAAAGCUGCUACAAAAUGUAAAAAUAGUACCAGAGGCAUAAAAAUAUCAUUGAAUGAAGUCAUGACUGUCAGAAAGCUUGUGGUGUAGAGACCUCUUCUUUUCACAUGGGACAAUAAUUACUUGUUGACUGCCCAGCACUGCUACAUCACCAGAGCCACCAAGCUGGGGCUACUGAAAUCACAUAUGCUGAUAUCUGCAUGCUCAAAAUCCAGAACAGGAGUCAUUGCUGAGCUUUCUGCGGUCCCUUCUUUCCCCAGAUAAG
RNAcentral lists this long non-coding RNA (6758 nucleotides) under Lynx pardinus (Iberian lynx). Lineage: Eukaryota; Metazoa; Chordata; Mammalia; Carnivora; Felidae. The record is from RNAcentral.